CAGGCCUAACACAUGCAAGUCGAACGGGGUCUUCGGACCCAGUGGCGAGCGGCGGAGUAAUACAUAAGCAACGUGCCCUAAAGACUGGGAUAAUCAUUGGAAACGAUGGGUAAUACCAGAUGUGGUCUUCUCUUGGCAUCUUGAGAAGAUUAAACGGUUUUUCGCUUUAGGAGCGGCUUAUGGCCUAUCAGGUAGUUGGUGGGGUAACAGCCUACCAAGCCGACGACGGGUAGCGGGUCUGAGAGGAUGAUCCGCUCGAGUGGGACUGAGACACGGCCCACACACCUACGGGUGGCAGCAGUUGGGAAUCUUGCACAAUGGGGGAAACCCUGAUGCAGCGACGCCGCGUGGAGGAUGAAGGGUCUAGGCCUGUAAACUCCUUUUGACGGGAAAGACUUAGGACGGUACCCGUUGAAUAAGGACCGGCUAACUACGUGCCAGCAGCCGCGGUAAGACGUAGGGUCCAAGCGUUGUCCGGAUUUACUGGGCGUAAAGAGCGCGUAGGCGGUCUGUUAAGUGUGAAGUGAAAUCUCCAGGGCUCAACCCGGAAACUGCUUCGCAUACUGGCAGACUGGAGGGAUGCAGAGGUUUGUGGAAUUCCUGGUGUAGCGGUGAUAUGCAUAGAUAUCAGGAGGAACACCCAUGGCGAAGGCAGCAAACUGGGCAUCAUCUGACGCUGAGGCGCGAAAGCGUGGGUAGCAAACAGGAUUAGAUACCCUGGUAGUCCACGCCCUAAACGAUGGAUACUAG
This 750-nucleotide ribosomal RNA is filed under the name uncultured bacterium. RNAcentral's name for it is "bacterial SSU rRNA". It matches the Rfam family "Bacterial small subunit ribosomal RNA", at positions 43 to 819 of the family's 1533-position model. The record is from RNAcentral.